RNAcentral lists this ribosomal RNA (473 nucleotides) under uncultured organism. RNAcentral's name for it is "partial 16S ribosomal RNA". It matches the Rfam family "Bacterial small subunit ribosomal RNA", at positions 335 to 799 of the family's 1533-position model. The record is from RNAcentral.
ACUCCUGCGGGAGGCAGCAGUGGGGAAUUUUGGACAAUGGGCGAAAGCCUGAUCCAGCAAUGCCGCGUGAGUGAAGAAGGCCUUCGGGUUGUAAAGCUCUUUUGUCAGGGAAGAAACGGUGAAAGCUAAUAUCUUUUGCUAAUGACGGUACCUGAAGAAUAAGCACCGGCUAACUACGUGCCAGCAGCCGCGGUAAUACGUAGGGUGCAAGCGUUAAUCGGAAUUACUGGGCGUAAAGCGUGCGCAGGCGGUUUUGUAAGUCUGAUGUGAAAUCCCCGGGCUCAACCUGGGAAUUGCAUUGGAGACUGCAAGGCUAGAAUCUGGCAGAGGGGGGUAGAAUUCCACGUGUAGCAGUGAAAUGCGUAGAUAUGUGGAGGAACACCGAUGGCGAAGGCAGCCCCCUGGGUCAAGAUUGACGCUCAUGCACGAAAGCGUGGGGAGCAAACAGGAGUAGAUACCCCUGUAGUCCCAUG